This 346-nucleotide ribosomal RNA is filed under the name uncultured fungus. RNAcentral's name for it is "eukaryotic LSU rRNA". The stretch from base 1 to 141 matches the Rfam family "5.8S ribosomal RNA". The record is from RNAcentral. Lineage: Eukaryota; Fungi.
GGAUUUCUUGGUUCUGGCGUCGAUGAAGAACGCAGCGAAAUGCGAUAAGUAGUGUGAAUUGCAGAAUUCAGUGAAUCAUCGAAUCUUUGAACGCACAUUGCGCCCCUUGGUAUUCCGGAGGGCAUGCCCGUUCGAGCGUCAUUACACCACUCAAGCCUGGCUUGGUAUUGGGCGGCGGGGAUCCCCCGCGCCCCUAAUUCAUCGGCUGGACGGCUCGAAUCUCGGCGUUGUGGUUUACUCAAAUCGCUGGCGAAGACGACCGGACGCGCCGUUAAAAUUCAUUACAGGUUGACCUCGGAUCGGGUAGGGAUACCCGCUGAACUUAAGCAUAUCGAUAAGCGGAGGA